Molecule: ribosomal RNA, 1305 nt
Filed under: Meloidogyne javanica (root-knot nematode)
Lineage: Eukaryota; Metazoa; Nematoda; Chromadorea; Rhabditida; Meloidogynidae
Description: SSU rRNA
Rfam family: Eukaryotic small subunit ribosomal RNA
Source: RNAcentral
AAAUUUUUUAAAACAAUAAUUCAUUACUACUAUUAAAUAACUACUAAUACUAUUUAAACAACCACUUUUACUAAUUCUACGACCACUUUUCAUUUUCUUUCUUGCUUAAUUCUCUUUCCAUUUAUUUUUCUCAUGAUGACGCAUAGCUAGGGGUUGCAUUUGGUCCAUUUCUCUUUUCGCCUCGACUCAUAUUAUAUUAGAAAAGUGGUUGUCUGUUGAGUAAAAUUGAAAAAGUGGCUGUGUGCUUGCGAAUUGUAAAAUAAAGUGGUUGUUUGCACAGGAAAUGGAAAGGAACAAUGUAUAGGAAAAUAAAUAAUUCUCGACUUAGCAGAUUUCAAGUCCUUCCGGGCUCCUUGGUGCCCUUUUAUGUAAAUUCUUAUCAUCCAAUCAACAUGUUUAUGGUACAAUCUGAAGUUUAUGGUACAAUCUGUUUAUGGUACAAUCUGAACUACAGCGAAAGCAUUUGCCAAGAAUGUCUUCAUUAAUCAAGAACGAAAGUCAGAGGUUCGAAGGCGAUCAGAUACCGCCCUAGUUCUGACCGUAAACGAUGCCAACUAGCGAUCCGCCGAUGGAAAUUAUAUUGCCUUGGUGGGGAGCUUCCCGGAAACGAAAGUCUUCCGGUUCCGGGGGAAGUAUGGUUGCAAAGCUGAAACUUAAAGGAAUUGACGGAAGGGCACCACCAGGAGUGGAGCCUGCGGCUUAAUUUGACUCAACACGGGGAAACUCACCCGGCCCGGACACUGUGAGGAUUGACAGAUUGAUAGCUUUUUCAUGAUUCAGUGGAUGGUGGUGCAUGGCCGUUCUUAGUUCGUGGAGUGAUUUGUCUGGUUUAUUCCGAUAACGAGCGAGACUCUAACCUACUAAAUAGCUGGUACAUAAUUUAAGUGUAUACAGCUUCUUAGAGGGAUUUGCGGUGUUCAGCCGAAAGAAAUUGAGCAAUAACAGGUCUGUGAUGCCCUUAGAUGUCCGGGGCUGCACGCGCGCUACACUGGCAAAAUCAACGUGCUUGUCCUACCCCGAAAGGGGCGGGUAAACCAUUGAAAAUUUGCCGUGAUUGGGAUCGGAAAUUGCAAUUAUUUUCCGUGAACGAGGAAUUCCAAGUAAGUGCGAGUCAUCAGCUCGCGUUGAUUACGUCCCUGCCCUUUGUACACACCGCCCGUCGCUGCCCGGGACUGAGCCAUUUCGAGAAAUUUGGGGACCGUUGAUUUAAUUUUUCUAAAUUACUUUGAUGGAAACCAAUUUAAUCGCAGUGGCUUGAACCGGGCAAAAGUCGUAACAAGGUAGCUGUAGGUGAACCUGCUGCUG